Molecule: ribosomal RNA, 279 nt
Filed under: uncultured bacterium
Lineage: Bacteria
Description: partial 16S ribosomal RNA
Rfam family: Bacterial small subunit ribosomal RNA
Source: RNAcentral
UGCCGGCAGCCGCGGUAAUACAGAGGGUGCGAGCGUUGUUCGGAAUUAUUGGGCGUAAAGCGCAAGUAGGCGGCCUGGCAAGUCGCGUGUGAAAGCUCCCGGCUCAACCGGGAAAGUGCGCGCGAAACUGCUGGACUUGAGUUCCGGAGAGGGUGGCGGAAUUCCCGGUGUAGAGGUGAAAUUCGUAGAUAUCGGGAGGAACACCAGAGGCGAAGGCGGCCACCUGGAAGGAUACUGACGCUGAGAGGCGAAAGCGUGGGGGGCAAACAGGAUUAGAUA